AGAGUUUGAUCAUGGCUCAGGACGAACGCUGGCGGCGUGCUUAACACAUGCAAGUCGAGCGAUGAAGCUCCUUCGGGAGUGGAUUAGCGGCGGACGGGUGAGUAACACGUGGGUAACCCACCUCAAAGAGGGGGAUAGCCUCCCGAAAGGGAGAUUAAUACCGCAUAAUAAUCAGUUUCCACAUGAAAAUUGAUUUAAAGGAGUAAUCCGCUUUGAGAUGGACCCGCGGCGCAUUAGCUAGUUGGUAGGGUAACGGCCUACCAAGGCGACGAUGCGUAGCCGACCUGAGAGGGUGAUCGGCCACAUUGGAACUGAGAGACGGUCCAGACUCCUACGGGAGGCAGCAGUGGGGAAUAUUGCACAAUGGGCGAAAGCCUGAUGCAGCAACGCCGCGUGAGUGAAGAAGGUUUUCGGAUUGUAAAGCUCUGUCUUUGGGGACGAUAAUGACGGUACCCAAGGAGGAAGCCACGGCUAACUACGUGCCAGCAGCCGCGGUAAUACGUAGGUGGCGAGCGUUGUCCGGAAUUACUGGGCGUAAAGAGUGCGUAGGCGGAUAUUUAAGUGAGAUGUGAAAUACCCGGGCUUAACCCGGGCACUGCAUUUCAAACUGGAUAUCUAGAGUGCGGGAGAGGAGAAUGGAAUUCCUAGUGUAGCGGUGAAAUGCGUAGAGAUUAGGAAGAACACCAGUGGCGAAGGCGAUUCUCUGGACCGUAACUGACGCUGAGGCACGAAAGCGUGGGUAGCAAACAGGAUUAGAUACCCUGGUAGUCCACGCCGUAAACGAUGAGUACUAGGUGUAGGAGGUAUCGACCCCUUCUGUGCCGCAGUAAACACAAUAAGUACUCCGCCUGGGAAGUACGAUCGCAAGAUUAAAACUCAAAGGAAUUGACGG
Molecule: ribosomal RNA, 892 nt
Filed under: uncultured bacterium
Lineage: Bacteria
Description: bacterial SSU rRNA
Rfam family: Bacterial small subunit ribosomal RNA
Source: RNAcentral